RNAcentral lists this ribozyme (115 nucleotides) under Aedes aegypti (yellow fever mosquito). Its description in RNAcentral is "drz-agam-1 ribozyme". It matches the Rfam family "drz-agam-1 ribozyme". Lineage: Eukaryota; Metazoa; Arthropoda; Insecta; Diptera; Culicidae. The record is from Rfam by way of RNAcentral.
UGCCCAGUAUCGCUUAUCCCUACCUCCUCCCGGUACUGGCCGGGGUACGAGUGACCUUAGGGAAUAUCAGAUAACCAACCCCGGUGGGAACUUUGGUCGUAUGCUGACAGGGAAG